This 404-nucleotide ribosomal RNA is filed under the name uncultured bacterium. Its description in RNAcentral is "bacterial SSU rRNA". It matches the Rfam family "Bacterial small subunit ribosomal RNA", at positions 355 to 775 of the family's 1533-position model. The record is from RNAcentral.
UAGGGGAUAUUGCACAAUGGGCGGAAGCCUGAUGCAGCAACGCCGCGUGAGUGAUGAAGGCCCUCGGGUCGUAAAACUCUUUUCAAGAGGAAGAGGAAGGACGGUACUCUUGGGAUAAGCCUCGGCUAACUACGUGCCAGCAGCCGCGGUAACACGUAGGAGGCGAGCGUUAUUCGGAUUUACUGGGCGUAAAGCGCGUGUAGGCGGCUGAUCAAGUUGGAUGUGAAAGCUCCCGGCUUAACUGGGAGAGGACACUCGAAACUGAACAGCUUGAGUAUGAGAGAGGAAAAUGGAAUUCCGGGUGUAGUGGUGAAAUGCGUAGAUAUCCGGAGGAACACCAGUGGCGAAGGCGAUUUUCUGGCUCAAGACUGACGCUCAGACGCGAAAGCUAGGGUAGCAAACGG